This 67-nucleotide transfer RNA is filed under the name Andrena haemorrhoa. RNAcentral describes it as "tRNA-Cys". Lineage: Eukaryota; Metazoa; Arthropoda; Insecta; Hymenoptera; Andrenidae. The record is from RNAcentral.
AUUUCUAUAGUUUAUAAAAAUGUUAAAUUGCAAGUUUAGAGAUAAUAUUAAAAGUGAUUUAGAAAUU